GGAGACUGCCUUAGUCUAGACAGGUUUUCUGGCCAUGUGGAUGGGGAGAAAGGACAUCUGUAACUGCAGUACAGUGUGGAGAGAACCAAGCUAUAUUUAAAUUAACUAAUACCCCAGGGACGUUGUGAAACGGAGACGGAAACACUUCCUUCCCAGCAACAGGAUAGGGAAGGGAGCUCUGAUGUUCCCUGGCUGUUUGGAGAAGCUUUCUGGCCAGCCAGCUUUCUGUGCGGCUUUCUGGGCCGCACCUGACUUGAGACAUCCAGGAAGGCAUCAGGACAUUGACCUGAGAGCUUCAUCAGUCAGUGCAGGGAGCCACAGCACCCAAGAGGGAGUGAUGCCAGGAGAUUCGUUGCCAAUCUGCAGGUGAAGUCAACUUAUUUGUUGAGGAUGCAUAACAGAAGAGCACUGGAUGUGUUGCGGUGCGGAGCAUCUAAAGCCUGGCUAGUCCUCAUGAGAAAAGUCCUCCUUGUGCAGCUCACCGGGCUUUUCCUCCAGAAUACGUGGUUAACCCAGAGUACCUGGAGAGAGAACCUCUGAAGGUGUACCCUGGGCGUUCUGGGGUGUAUCCUUACCACCCGUUUCCCGUGGGAUUUGCCAUCAAUCAAUCAGGCUGCAGGGGAGCACCACCACCGGCAGGGAUGUCGCUGCAAAGAGGUUUCCGACACGUUCCCAGCACCUAUGGGCCAGGGAGCGCAGCUUCUCUGUCAAUUCCAGACGGAGGUGGAGAUUUCCAUCAAGGAUAUUACACUCCUCUGCCUCAGUUUAUUCCGCCAAGUUUCCUGCCAGGGAUUCAUUAUGUUCCGCCUCCCCUUCCACUCAGUGUGUUGGCUGAAACAACCAAGGAAACGCGCGCUUCAGCAGCUGACAGCCAGGAUUCAGGGAUGGUGUGUGAACCUGGCCAACCAUCUUCCCCAGAAGAAACGAGCAGAGACCAAACCGUACAUUCUAAACAUUAAAUGGCCUGGAGAAGAGCUGAGUAGCAGGCAGCACUGUUUUCACUGCUGAGGAGAGUAUUGGUUAAUAUGGGUGUAGAGUGACACUUAAUUGUUGCGCAGCCACAGGAGCUAGAAAGGGAUUGGUUCCCUGCCUCACUUUAUGAUCAUGUGAGAGCUAUCAGCAUCACAGCUCUACCCCCUUAGCAGUGUGAAGCGCUUGUUCCUAAGAGAGGUUUUCCAGAGCCACCAUAAAUCCUUUCCUCCUUAAGCAGGAGGAAGCAGCAGAGCACUAUGACUCUAAAUGCUGGUUCCUCUCCUGAGGCUAGUUGGCUGCCUCUUUGCCACGCAGGCUCUGUGCAGCCUUCUUGUGCUCACAGCAGCGGUCAAAAAUGUGUUGUUUGUGUAUCAAUUUGCUGUAAAGGAAACCUGGUUCUGAGUAAGUUCUGAGUUAAGUGAUGUAGGGCCUGAAGACUGAGUGAGAGAGGAUGGGAAGACAGUCUGGGUUGCUGAUAUACAAGACUGAUCAGGAACGUGAGUCCCUGGCGUUCAUCGGGCCGAGGCGGUAGCAGACGUUUGGUACGCUUGUCAAGGAGGGCUUGAGAGGAUGCUGAAAUCCAGUACCUCCUCAUUGUUUUCCAGGUGAACUGCCUGUAGGGCGCCUUCCCCGCAGGUAGGGGACAGACUGAUUUGGAAUCACCUCUUGUCACGCAGGCCUCAGGAUUCUGAGUGCCUUUGAUGGUUUAUACAUUAUUUCUAUGUUGUUUAACUCAGUACAGCUGAAGAAAGCGGCACCAUUGAUUCUAGAGGGCUCAGGUAGGCAGCUUAAUAGGUAGGGAUUGGAAGUGCACUGUGGCCUAUCAGAGGUGUGGGGGAGUGGCGAGGAAGCUAGGGCAACACACCAUUUAGAACAGUAAUUAGCCAAACCCAUACAUGCUGUAAUUUUCAAUGAUAAUGUUUGGAUAAAAAUGGAAGGUGCAUUCCUCUACUGUUUUGCUGCAAGGAACUGGUUUUGUAUUAAGUGGAUCAGUUGUUAAUGUUUGAAUACUUUGAGGAGGACUUUUGUAUAAUUA
This 2008-nucleotide long non-coding RNA is filed under the name Struthio camelus australis. Its description in RNAcentral is "lncRNA (ENSSCUG00000014928.1)". Lineage: Eukaryota; Metazoa; Chordata; Aves; Struthioniformes; Struthionidae. The record is from RNAcentral.